Salvia miltiorrhiza (redroot sage) is the source of this 497-nucleotide long non-coding RNA. RefSeq lists it as uncharacterized. The record is from RefSeq and is a predicted model, not a curated record. The transcript is spliced from 3 exons. NCBI's taxonomy places the organism in Eukaryota, Viridiplantae, Streptophyta, Magnoliopsida, Lamiales, Lamiaceae.
UCUAGAGAAUAAUGUUGUGAAAUAAAAGCCCUUCCCAAAAAAAAACUAUAAGUCUAUCACGUCGUUAACUCCCUCUUCCACUCCCAUAAAUUGAAGUCGUCGUCGGACCAGCGCAUCACCUUCUUGCUCUGCUGCUGCCGCUGACUAACUUCAACUCUAUCGUCGAUCACUCUCGCUCACUCCGCCGCCCCUCGCCCCUAAUCCCAUAAAUCUCUCUCCCACCGGCCACACCCUCUCGCAGCCGCCGGUAGACUAGCGCCUGUCAAUCGUUGCGAGAGAUUCAGCAGCGCCAUCGCCCAGAUUUGUGUUGCCGCCACUGUGCCCGAGCCGCCGUCACCGCGCUCUGCCGCCGCCGCCACUGCUGUCGAGCCCUACUGUCGCCGCUGUCAUGCUUAUAAGAUUUUGAUGUAACCAUGGGAAAAGCUACAGUACAAACUUGGCAUGAAUCUGUAACAUUUUUUAAUAGGUCUGCUUCGCCCGAUGCACGGCAGUUCAUG